RNAcentral lists this ribosomal RNA (253 nucleotides) under uncultured bacterium. RNAcentral's name for it is "partial 16S ribosomal RNA". It matches the Rfam family "Bacterial small subunit ribosomal RNA", at positions 524 to 776 of the family's 1533-position model. The record is from RNAcentral.
UACGUAGGGGGCAAGCGUUGUCCGGAAUCAUUGGGCGUAAAGCGCGCGUAGGCGGCCCGGUAAGUCCGUUGUGAAAGUCAAAGGCUCAACCUUUGAAUGCCGAUGGAUACUGCCGGGCUGGAGUCCGGAAGAGGCGAGUGGAAUUCCUGGUGUAGCGGUGGAAUGCGCAGAUAUCAGGAAGAACACCAAUGGCGAAGGCAGCUCUCUGGGACGGUACUGACACUGAGACGCGAAAGCGUGGGGAGCGAACAGG